GUGUCAGCAGCCGCGGUAAAACGUAGGUGGCAAGCGUUAUCCGGAUUCACUGGGCGUAAAGCGCAUGCAGGUGGCACAGUAAGUAGGGCAUGAAAACUCCUGGCUUAACUGGGAGAGGCUGUCCUAGACUGCUGAGCUUGAGGAUGGGAGAGGGAAGUGGAAUUGCCGGUGUAGUGGUGAAAUGCGUAGAGAUCGGCAGGAACACCCGUGGCGAAAGCGGCUUCCUGGCCCAUUCCUGACACUCAGAUGCGAAAGCUAGGGGAGCGAACGGGAUUAGAAACCCCCGUAGUCC
Molecule: ribosomal RNA, 292 nt
Filed under: uncultured bacterium
Lineage: Bacteria
Description: partial 16S ribosomal RNA
Rfam family: Bacterial small subunit ribosomal RNA
Source: RNAcentral